CGGGGUUAGCAAUGCAGGGGGGCGUUGUGUGUUAGAAAGGCCGGGCGCUCUCCUCUACCUGCUCAGCAACUAUCAGCUGUAAAGACCUUCAGUGCCGAUUCCCCCUCAGAGACCGUUUCUUUUUACUGGUACAGCAGCCCCUCAUGCAGGCACCCGCAGCCUGUGAUCCCCACCCUCUCCUCAGACAGGAAAAUGUUUUUUUCCCCUGAUAAAGCAGCAGCAUAAUCCAGAUAUUGAGGCCCCGCCCCUUUCACAGGCUCCACCCCCUCUCACGACCCGCGAUUACCCCCUCUCCCCAGCAGCCAUCUUAUAGCCGAGGCACUGCCCCUCAUGCAGGCACCCGCAGCCUGUGAUCCCCACCCUCUCCUCAGACAGGAAAAUGUUUUUUUCCCCUGAUAAAGCAGCAGCAUAAUCCAGAUAUUGAGGCCCCGCCCCUUUCACAGGCUCCACCCCCUCUCACGACCCGCGAUUACCCCCUCUCCCCAGCAGCCAUCUUAUAGCCGAGGCACUGCCCCUCAUGCAGGCACCCGCAGCCUGUGAUCCCCACCCUCUCCUCAGAGACAGGAAACAGGUCUUGUUCCUGAUAAAGCAGCAGCACAAUCCAGAAGUCGAGGCCCCGCCCCUCUCACAGGCUCCUCCCACGACCCGCGAUUACCCCCCCCCCCUCCACCUCCAACUAUGAGGAUCCAGCACAGACUCAGAGUUCCUGCAGCUCCCCUGCAAGGACAGUGAGGCACGGAGGCGCCUUGCUGGAGAGGCACCAUCCCCUCUCAGGAUGAGGUCAGGAUGCGAACAGUCGGAAUCACGGCACACAGGCAGAAGAUGGGUGCUAGAAUGCCGACAUCGGAUGAAAUGUUUGCACCGCAAGGCCGACACCUGCAUUCGAAACGUUCCAGCUCCUGUCUCCAGACUUCUGCUAUAGAGACCCGCACCAGCAUUCCAUCUGCGGUGUAGCCUGACUCUCCGAUCCAUUCUGGACUCACCUGUUUCCAGCUACAACAAUCACCUGCUUCCAGCCAAGCUUCCAGCAGUGUGCAGCUUCUCUUAAAGGGCCGGUGUCCUUUCUGCAGUUUACCACUCUCCACCGGUAUUAUUAUUUCACCGCUCUCAAACAAUCACCUGCUUCCAGCCCAGCUUCCAGCAGUGUACAGCUUCUCUUAAAGGGCCGGUGUCCUUUUCUGCAGUUUACCACUCUCCACCGGUAUUAUUAUUUCACCGCUCUCAAACUCCAAACUUCAUUAUUAUUUCAUCGCUCUCAAGUUCGUUUAUUAUUUAACUGGUCCCAGCCAGUAUCCACUCCGUACCAACAACAGUCUGGUUCCAGCCAGUAUCCACAGCAGCCGUUUUACCUUCAGCAGCCCAGCCUUUCCUGGAACAUCAGCUGGUACGAUCCUGGGUUCUCUCCAUUGCUACAGUCAGGCCUGGUAAGGACUUUCCAACUAGAAGA
Long non-coding RNA from Pseudophryne corroboree (corroboree frog), 1447 nucleotides. RefSeq lists it as uncharacterized. The record is from RefSeq and is a predicted model, not a curated record. The transcript is spliced from 3 exons. Lineage: Eukaryota; Metazoa; Chordata; Amphibia; Anura; Myobatrachidae.